GGGUCAGUAGGUUGGUCGUGCCACCGGUACGUACUGGUCUCACUGAUUCCUCCUUCCUGAAGAACCGUAAUGCCAUUAAUUUGGUGUUGCAGGGAAACAGGACUGUUACUUUGAAAAAAUUAGAGUGUUUAAAGCAAGCUAACGCUUGAAUACAUUAGCAUGGAAUAAUGAAAUAGGACGAUCGAUCCUAUUUUGUUGGUUUCUAGGAUUGACGUA
RNAcentral lists this ribosomal RNA (216 nucleotides) under Glomeromycotina sp. RNAcentral's name for it is "partial small subunit ribosomal RNA". The stretch from base 40 to 216 matches the Rfam family "Eukaryotic small subunit ribosomal RNA", at positions 686 to 864 of the family's 1831-position model. Lineage: Eukaryota; Fungi; Glomeromycota. The record is from RNAcentral.